Molecule: long non-coding RNA, 232 nt
Filed under: Bos taurus (domestic cattle)
Lineage: Eukaryota; Metazoa; Chordata; Mammalia; Artiodactyla; Bovidae
Description: long non-coding RNA NONBTAT007310
Source: RNAcentral
GUUCGGGGGAUAUAUGUGUGGAGCAUAUGUGGGGAAUGUGGUUGGUCUGGCCUGUAAGAAGUUAAAAAUGUAGGUGAAGAGUUUUGUUUUGGGUUUUUUUUUUUAUUAAGAAGAACUAGCAAUUUUACGAUCUAAUCCUAACUCAUCGCUCCUUUGUCACCUGCUGCUUGUUCUGCGUAUUUUCAUUUGCCUUUGCUCCUGCCCUUUAAGUGAAACGCCGCCCUUUUCACCU